AUGAACGCUGGCGGCGUGCCUCAUACAUGCAAGUCGAGCGAACAGACGAGGAGCUUGCUCCUCUGACGUUAGCGGCGGACGGGUGAGUAACACGUGGAUAACCUACCUAUAAGACUGGGAUAACUUCGGGAAACCGGAGCUAAUACCGGAUAAUAUAUUGAACCGCAUGGUUCAAUAGUGAAAGACGGUUUUGCUGUCACUUAUAGAUGGAUCCGCGCCGCAUUAGCUAGUUGGUAAGGUAACGGCUUACCAAGGCAACGAUGCGUAGCCGACCUGAGAGGGUGAUCGGCCACACUGGAACUGAGACGCGGUCCAGACUCCUACGGGAGGCAGCAGUAGGGAAUCUUCCGCAAUGGGCGAAAGCCUGACGGAGCAACGCCGCGUGAGUGAUGAAGGUCUUCGGAUCGUAAAACUCUGUUAUUAGGGAAGAACAAAUGUGUAAGUAACUAUGCACGUCUUGACGGUACCUAAUCAGAAAGCCACGGCUAACUACGUG
This 496-nucleotide ribosomal RNA is filed under the name uncultured bacterium. RNAcentral's name for it is "partial 16S ribosomal RNA". It matches the Rfam family "Bacterial small subunit ribosomal RNA", at positions 29 to 507 of the family's 1533-position model. The record is from RNAcentral.